ACAGCAGGGAUAGUGUGUAUCGGUGUUGUGCUAUGUUUAAUGCACUCUUCCGAAAGAGUUCUCUGCAACAUGGUUUUGACAAAGUGGGCAGUUGUAUUUCAUCCUUUAUUGAAAAUCACAACAAUCAUUUUCCCUACAUCU
RNAcentral lists this small nucleolar RNA (141 nucleotides) under Phaseolus vulgaris (common bean). RNAcentral describes it as "snoRNA snoR135". It matches the Rfam family "small nucleolar RNA snoR135". Lineage: Eukaryota; Viridiplantae; Streptophyta; Magnoliopsida; Fabales; Fabaceae. The record is from Rfam by way of RNAcentral.